GGGGGCGACUGGUUUCGACACGGGAGUUCUGAGGGGAGAAGCAGGCCGAGGUCGCCUUACCUCGUUAAACAGGGGCAAAAGACGCUCAAGCGUCGACAAUGAUUUCGCACUCGCUGCCUAAAUAGCGCAGCGACGUCGCCCGGUGAGCGUCCCCGUCACCGGAUCCGACGUCACUAAAGGGGACUGCCGCUGAAGACGUAGCCGGUAUGCUUCAGCGAAAGACCGAACCAGCUAGGAAGGGGCACGCUCGUCACACCGUGUCGCCCCGACCGAACGCCAAGAUGUGACUGAGCCUGGAGAUGCUCCCCAGGGGGCUGUCGUGGACCGGAGUUCGAUUCUCCGCGCCUCCACCA
Actinobacteria bacterium 66_15 is the source of this 353-nucleotide non-coding RNA. NCBI's taxonomy places the organism in Bacteria, Bacillati, Actinomycetota, Actinomycetes. The record is from Rfam.